CUAGGAAUUGGAUUUGGCACAAUAUAAUUCCUGUUAGGCUCUUUCAAGUAGGCUGAAAUCUUCUCUUCAUUGAUGUGGAUAGGAAACCAGUCACCUAGGCUAUAAAAUAAUCUAGUUUAAGGUAUGUAGUGACAAUACACGGGGAAGGGAUUCUUCUACACAAUGCAUCUGUUAAGGGUUAGAGCUCAAAAAUGGAUAGGUUCUAUGUAAGAUAUGAAAUAUGUGAUAUGACCUUCUGGAUAAUUCUGACUCGAUUAAUGGGAGAAGAGAUCAGUACUUGUCUAUUAAAAUAUGGAGGAGAGAGAAAGAGAGAAGACUGUAGAGAGAGAGAGGGCGAGUUCGGAAGGAGAUCCAGUGCAGCUGUGCGCGAGCGAUGGCGUGAAAGACUUCAGUAGCUUGGAUGCUCGUACCAGUCGGUGGAAGAGAAGCUUCGAGGUGGAGUCGAAGACAUUCGAGAUCGAGCUUGAGAGGAAAAAAGGUAAAACGCAAAUCUUCAUCGAGGAAAGGAAGCGAGGGGUUUCGUCGUGGAUUAAGAUGGGGCCGGAGAGCUUAGGGUUUGUCGUGGAAGGUUUGGCCUUGUGUAUUGAGGACACACGGAAAGGUAGAUGGGUCAGAAAUUGGAGGGAGAGAGGGAGGCUCUUUUCGUUGUUACGGGAUGAGAAUAAAGGAGGAAGCUUCAUUCGGCUGGGUGUGGAGGAUGGGGAGCAAAAGAGGUUUAACAUCUUUAUCCCUAAAGGAAAAGAAGGGAAAGGGGGCUGGAGUGAGAUGUUGCAGAUACUUCAGGCGCUGAUCGACACCACGAAGAGGAAGGAGUAUCAGAAGGAGGAGAAGGUGAUGGUGGCGCCAUGUGAGGGGAGUAGCUACGCGCAAGUGGUGAAGGGACAGAAGCGUAUUGGUAGAUCAGUGGCUAGGGUAGAAGUGAACCACAAGGAAUUGUACCAAAACCUAAAAAGGUUGGAUCAGUGCAUUGUUGGAUCGUGGGAUCCGAGGUCGGCAAAGGGGGAGGACUUGAGGAGAUGGGGAAACCAAAUGGCUCGAUCGUGGGGGCUGAGGGGAAAUUUAGGUUUGGCCAAGCUGGAAAGGGGUAAGGUGUUGUUAGAAUUUGAGAGGCGUGAUGAAGCUGAAAAAGCCAUUAAAAUGGGAGAAAUUUGGGUAGGGAAGACAAUGUUAUGGUUGGAGAAGUGGAACCCUAGGACGGGGUGUCUGUUAGAAGGAGAAGAGAGAAGCGAGGCUUGGGUGAGGAUUGUGGGGCUCCCCAUCUCGCUGUGGAACCGGGAAAUCCUUAGAAAGAUUGGGGAGAAAUGCGGGGGAUUCUUGGCAAUGGAUUCUCAAACGGAGAGACUAGAAGAAUUGCAGUGGGCAAGAAUCUUGGUGAAAAUUUCCGGCGAGGAGCUCCCUAGUAGGCUGGAUAUUGGGGACGAGGGGGUGUUUUACUCGCUUACAUUAUGGUGGGAAGUGAGGCCGGUAAUGAGAAGGAUGCCGGCAGAAAGGAAAGAUACAAACAGCGGUGAUGCUGCAGGAGAGGUUGAGGGUGAAGUAGCAACACGCGCGGGCAAACGCGUGAUGGAGUUGGUGGAAGGCGUGAGGCCCGAGACCCACCUGCAGUCGGCUGAUGGGACAAGGGGGCAGAUAGAUGGGCCGGGGUCUGUUUGGGCCCUUUCCCGAGGACCAAAUGGACUGGGUCUGGGGGAUAAAGAAGGACUGCAUGGGAGGCUCUGCCAUGCUGGGCCUAAUCGUGGUCUGGGAUUGGAUGUUGGGCCCGAUGGGUUCGUGUCGCAGAAGGCUGGGCCAACUUCCAACGGGACUUCGUCUUCUGGAAGGCCUUUGGACUUAAAGGGCUUUGGGUUUAUGGAGGCCGUUAAAUCGGGUGGGCUAUAUGGGGGGAAUGAGUGUCAUGGCCCAUCUGGAGUAGCUUUGCCUCUCGUGUGGGAUGGCCUAAGUCAACUGAAGGAGGCAGACGCUGAAGAAGUUCCUUUUUGGGAAUAUGAAGGCAGGAGGAGACAAGCUGAAAUGGAGGCCUGUCUCGCGGAGAAAUCAAGAACCGACUGCGCCCUAAUCGAAGAAGCAUCGAGGUACGAGUGUGCUCCUAUCCCUUGUGGAUUAAUGGCAUCUGAAUUAUCCUCUUCUCCUCUCUUCUUUUUUGGUCGGUCCCCGUUGGGGGAUUUUUGCGACAAUUCUGGGGAGGAUAGGGUUACACAUCUGAGAGAUACCCCCCUGUGUAUGCUUAUCCCCUUGGGGCCCCCGGAAGAGGAAAAUGAGGGCCGGUUGUGGGAGGGCUCAAGUGUCUGUAAGGAGAGCAGCGGCAAGGUACUAAGACUAGUCNNNNNNNNNNNNNNNNNNNNNNNNNNNNNNNNNNNNNNNNNNNNNNNNNNNNNNNNNNNNNNNNNNNNNNNNNNNNNNNNNNNNNNNNNNNNNNNNNNNNGAGGAGAGUGAGUUGGCCAAAUUCAGUAAGUUCUUGGGCUUCUCUACAGAAGGUCUGGAGAAAGAAAUCUUGGAGUUUAUGAUUAAGAUUCGGAAGAGAAGGGAGAAGGUCCACAGCAAAAACAUGCUAGAGAAAUCCAGAUUUGAAAGGGAACUGAAAAGGCUGGAAUGCUCUAUUAAUUACGAGAAGGGGAAGAAGCAGAAGGGUGGAAUGAUAGUAGAAGGGGGUCACUUUAUGGUGGACAAAUGAAGCUUAGAAUCUUAAGCUGGAAUGUUCGGGGAGUUAACGACAGUGCAAAAAGAAAAGUGAUUAAGGCCAUGAUAAGGAGUCAAAGAGUGGAUAUGUUCUGUCUCCAGGAGACUAAGAUUCAAUCAAUGACAGAGGGGUUGGUGAGGAGCUUAGGCACUGGCAGGUUCCUUAAUUGGGGUACUGUGGAUGCCCAGGGGACUGCGGGAGGGAUUUUGAUCUGCUGGGAUAAGAGGACCUUGGAGUUAAUGGAAUUGGAAGUGGGGUGCUUUUCAAUUUCCUGUAGGAUGAGGAAUGUGGAAGAUGGAAGAGUCUGGAUGUUUACUGGGGUUUACGGGCCAUUUUCUAAAGAGGAGAGGGAGUGGAUGUGGGAGGAAUUAGGUGCAAUUCGUGGCAUUUGGGAGGAUCCAUGGUGUAUAGGGGGUGACUUCAAUGUCACGUUGUCACUGAGGGAAAGGAGUAAUCAGGGGAGACUAACGAGUGCAAUGAGAAGAUUUGCUCAAGUUGUUGAUGAACUAGAGCUAAUUGAUCUCCCAUUACAAGGAGGGAUGCUUACUUGGAGUGGGGGGAGGAACAAUCAGGCGUGGGCCAGAUUGGAUAGGUUUCUGGUGACUCAGGGAUGGCUUGAUCAUUUUAAUGAGGUCGUGCAAUGUAGGCUGCCAAGACCGACCUCAGAUCAUUUUCCUAUUGUGCUGAUGGGGGGAGGGAUAAGGAGAGGUCUGUCCCCGUUUCGGUUUGAAAACAUGUGGCUUAAAGUGGACGGAUUCUCGGAUCUUCUCAGGGGUUGGUGGCAAGAAAUUGAGGUUAGAGGGAGGGCCAGUGUCAGACUAGCUACUAAAAUGAAGGUGUUGAAGCAUAAGAUUAAAGUGUGGAACAGGGAGGUUUUUGGUAGGCUGGAAGUUAAUAAGAAUUCAGCCUUGCAACAAGUGGAGUUUUGGGACGGGGUGGAAAGGGAAAGGAGCUUGUCUGAAGGUGAAACUGAACUGAAAAAGGAAGCCAAGGAGUCCUUUAAAAAAUGGGUUUUAUUGGAGGAGACCCACUGGAGACAAUUGUCCAAGGAAUUGUGGCUUAAGGAGGGAGAUAGAAACACUGGAUUCUUCCAUAGAAUGGCUAAUGCGCAUAGAAGGAAUAAUUCUUUUGGAGAGAAUGAAAAUUUAUGGGGGUUUGGUUGACUGNNNNNNNNNNNNNNNNNNNNNNNNNNNNNNNNNNNNNNNNNNNNNNNNNNNNNNNNNNNNNNNNNNNNNNNNNNNNNNNNNNNNNNNNNNNNNNNNNNNNAGAGGAAAUCUACGCAGCCUUAAUGGGUAUGAAUGGGGAUAAAGCGCCGGGUCCGGAUGGGUUCACAAUUGCGUUUUGGCAAUCAAGUUGGGGGUUAGUGAAGGAGGAGAUUAUGGAUCUGUUUAGGGAAUUCUAUAACCAACGUUCGUUUGCUAACAGCCUUAACUCCACCUUUUUAGUCCUCAUUCCUAAGAAAGGAGGGGCUGAAGACUUGGGUGAUUUCCGGCCAAUCAGCUUGUUAGGAAGUUUGUACAAGCUAUUGGCUAAGGUGUUGGCGAAUAGGCUAAAGAAGGUGCUUGAUAAGGUGGUGUCAGGGGACCAAAACGCCUUUGUAAGAGGCAAACAGAUCCUGGACGCGUCUCUUAUUGCCAAUGAGGUGAUUGAUUUCUGGAACAAGAGAAAAGAGAAUGGGCUGAUUUGUAAACUAGACAUUGAGAAAGCCUAUGACAGCAUUAAUUGGAGAUUUCUCAUGAAAGUUAUGGUCAAAAUGGGUUUUGGGUCGCGGUGGUUGGAGUGGAUGUGGUGGUGCAUCUCUACCGCCAAAUUUUCAGUCAUGAUCAAUGGGGUGCCAGCUGGUUUUUUCUCGAAUUCUAAGGGGCUAAGACAAGGAGAUCCCAUCUCCCCAUAUCUCUUUGUGUUGGGGAUGGAAGUUCUUAGUAUUCUAAUUAGAAGAGCGGUUGAUGGGGGUUUCUUAUCAGGCUGCAACAUUAAGGGGAGAGGGGAAGAGGAGAUGAUAGUGUCCCACCUACUCUUUGCGGAUGACACAAUCAUCUUUUGUGAAGCUAAUAAAGAGCAAGUGUCCGCUCUAAGCUGGGUGUUGGCUUGGUUUGAGGCGGCUUCCGGCCUUAGAAUCAAUCUUGAUAAAAGUGUCCUCAUUCCGGUGGGUGAGGUGGAGAAUAUUGAGGAGCUGGCUGUGGAACUUGGCUGCAAAAUAGGAAUGCUGCCCACUGUGUACUUGGGGCUGCCCCUUGGUGCUCACCACAAAGCUGUUUCCAUUUGGGAUGGGGUGGAAGAGAGGAUGAGGAAGAGAUUAGCCCAAUGGAAAAGACAGUAUAUUUCAAAGGGAGGGCGUCUCACCUUAAUCAAGUGUACAAUGGCCAGCCUUCCCAUAUACAUUAUGUCCCUCUUUCGAAUGCCGAAGAGUGUUGUAAAAAGACUCGAAAAAAUACAAAGAGACUUCCUUUGGGGAGGGGGCAGCUUGGAGAGGAAGGUGCACUUAAUUAAGUGGGAGGUGGUGUGUACUAGCAAGGAAAAGGGUGGCCUUGGCAUGAGGAGGAUUGAAUCCUUAAACAAAGCGCUGUUGGGUAAAUGGGUUUGGAGAUUUGCUGUGGAAAAGGAUAAUCUUUGGAGGGUAAUGAUNNNNNNNNNNNNNNNNNNNNNNNNNNNNNNNNNNNNNNNNNNNNNNNNNNNNNNNNNNNNNNNNNNNNNNNNNNNNNNNNNNNNNNNNNNNNNNNNNNNNAAGGAAAUCAUGAAGGAAGCUAAUUGGUGUUGGGAGAAUAUCAAGUUCAAGGUAGGGAAAGGGACUAGAAUAAAAUUCUGGUUGGAUCAAUGGUGUGGGGAUGAGAGGUUGUCCCAUGCUUUUCCCUUGCUUUAUGAGAUGGCGGUCAACAAGAAUGCAACGGUUAAUGAGAUGUGGGACCAUAGCAGUGGUCCAGGUGGCUGGAAUCUCAGAUUUCAUAGAGACUUCAAUGAUUGGAAGCUGGAUUUGAUUAGAGGAUUGCUUAUUAGGCUCAGGGACGUCAAGCUCUCUUCAGAGGAGGACGGGGUGCUUUGGAAAGGGGGGGGGGGGGGCAUGGGAAGUAUGGGGUGAAGCAGGCCUAUAAUGGGCUGGUUGUUAUCAAUGCUUGCAACUUUCCGCAUAGAGGAGUUUGGGUGAACAAGGUCCCUACCAAAGUGGUUUUUUUUGCUUGGGAAGCUGCGUGGGGGAAAAUUCUUACCUUGGAUAGGCUUCAAAAACGGGGCUGGUAGUUCCCGAACCGUUGUUUUUUGUGUGUUUGUGAAGAGGAGAGUGUAAAUCACAUUCUUCUUCAUUGUACGGUGGUAAGGGCCUUAUGGGAUAUCGUUUUUGCCCUUGUGGGGGUUCAUUGGGUGUUCCCAGAGCUGGUGAAGGAGGCUUUAUUCAGUUGGAGGGGCCCCUUUGUGGGGAAAAAAAGGAAAAAAAUUUGGAAUUCUAUCCCGUUGUGUAUUUUUUGGACGGUAUGGAAGGAAAGAAAUAGGUUAGCGUUCAAGGGAGGGGUGUUAAAUAUACAGAAACUCAAAAAUUCUUUUGUUUGUACCUUGUGGAGUUGGGCUAGGGUGUAUAUUGGAGAGGAGUCCUCUUCACUCUUAGGUUUUUUUGAGUGGCUAGCGACCACUUAAGGGAGGGUAAGGGCCUUUGUUUUUGUGCUUUCGUUUUGAGGCAGAUUUGUAUACGUCCUGUAUGCUUGAUGGCCUUUGCCCUUUAAUAUAUUUGCGAUAUUUAUAAAAAAAAAAAAAAAAAUAUGUGAUAUGACCUUCUGAUCAAAAAAAUAUGUGAUAUGACCUGGUUAUAAUGGGGACCAAUUCUAUCAAAAAAUAAUAAUAAUAAUGGGGACCAAUUCUAUAAACACCAGAGUUCAUACUUAACCUAGAAG
Molecule: long non-coding RNA, 6555 nt
Filed under: Vitis vinifera (wine grape)
Lineage: Eukaryota; Viridiplantae; Streptophyta; Magnoliopsida; Vitales; Vitaceae
Description: long non-coding RNA (VVIN_LNC003096)
Source: RNAcentral